UACGUAGGGUGCGAGCGUUAAUCGGAAUUACUGGGCGUAAAGCGUGCGUAGGCGGUUCUGCAAGUCAGAUGUGAAAUCCCCGGGCUUAACCUGGGAACUGCGUUUGAAACUACGGAGCUAGAGUGUGGCAGAGGGGGGUGGAAUUCCACGUGUAGCAGUGAAAUGCGUAGAUAUGUGGAGGAACACCGAUGACGAAGGCAACCCCCUGGGCCAACACUGACGCUGAGGCACGAAAGCGUGGGGAGCAAACAGG
RNAcentral lists this ribosomal RNA (253 nucleotides) under uncultured bacterium. Its description in RNAcentral is "partial 16S ribosomal RNA". It matches the Rfam family "Bacterial small subunit ribosomal RNA", at positions 524 to 776 of the family's 1533-position model. The record is from RNAcentral.